UCUGAAGAGGAGCCUGCGGCGGAUUAGCUAGUUGGUAAGGUAAUGGCUUACCAAGGCAACGAUCCGUAACCGGCCUGAGAGGGCGGUCGGUCACACUGACACUGACAUACGGGUCAGACUCCUACGGGAGGCAGCAGUCGGGAAUUUUGGGCAAUGGGCGAAAGCCUGACCCAGCAACGCCGCGUGAAGGAUGAAAUCCCUCGGGAUGUAAACUUCGCAAGAACGGGAAGAAUAAGUAGGGGACAAUACCCCCUAUGAUGACGGUACCGUUUGUAAGCUCCGGCUAACUCCGUGCCAGCAGCCGCGGUAAUACGGGGGGAGCAAGCGUUGUUCGGAUUUACUGGGCGUAAAGGGCGCGUAGGCGGCCAGCACAAGUCAGUUGUGAAAUCUCCGAGCUUAACUCGGAAAGGUCAACUGAUACUGUGCGGCUAGAGUGCGGAAGGGGCAACUGGAAUUCUUGGUGUAGCGGUGAAAUGCGUAGAUAUCAAGAGGAACACCUGCGGCGAAGGCGGGUUGCUGGGCCGACACUGACGCUGAGGCGCGAAAGCUAGGGGAGCGAACGGGAUUAGAUACCCCGGUAGUCCUAGCCUUAAACGAUGAAUGCUUGGUGUCUGGGGUUAUAAAGUCCCCGGGUGCCGUCGCUAACGCUUUAAGCAUUCCGCCUGGGGAGUACGGUCGCAAGACUGAAACUCAAAGGAAUUGACGGAAUCGAAUU
Molecule: ribosomal RNA, 715 nt
Filed under: uncultured bacterium
Lineage: Bacteria
Description: bacterial SSU rRNA
Rfam family: Bacterial small subunit ribosomal RNA
Source: RNAcentral